This 466-nucleotide ribosomal RNA is filed under the name Xylanimonas sp. Its description in RNAcentral is "bacterial SSU rRNA". It matches the Rfam family "Bacterial small subunit ribosomal RNA", at positions 361 to 837 of the family's 1533-position model. Lineage: Bacteria; Bacillati; Actinomycetota; Actinomycetes; Micrococcales; Promicromonosporaceae. The record is from RNAcentral.
AUAUUGCACAAUGGGCGCAAGCCUGAUGCAGCGACGCCGCGUGAGGGAUGACGGCCUUCGGGUUGUAAACCUCUUUCAGCAGGGAAGAAGCGCAAGUGACGGUACCUGCAGAAGAAGCGCCGGCUAACUACGUGCCAGCAGCCGCGGUAAUACGUAGGGCGCAAGCGUUGUCCGGAAUUAUUGGGCGUAAAGAGCUCGUAGGCGGUCUGUCGCGUCUGGUGUGAAAUCCCGAGGCUCAACCUCGGGCUUGCAUCUGGUACGGGCAGACUAGAGUGCGGUAGGGGAGACUGGAAUUCCUGGUGUAGCGGUGGAAUGCGCAGAUAUCAGGAGGAACACCGAUGGCGAAGGCAGGUCUCUGGGCCGCAACUGACGCUGAGGAGCGAAAGCAUGGGGAUCGAACAGGAUUAGAUACCCUGGUAGUCCAUGCCGUAAACGUUGGGCACUAGGUGUGGGGCUCAUUCCACGA